This is a long non-coding RNA of Helianthus annuus (common sunflower), 2601 nucleotides long. RefSeq lists it as uncharacterized. Lineage: Eukaryota; Viridiplantae; Streptophyta; Magnoliopsida; Asterales; Asteraceae. The transcript is spliced from 3 exons. The record is from RefSeq and is a predicted model, not a curated record.
UGCAAGAUUCGUUCAUUUCAACCUCUUUAAAAAUCCUCAGAUAUCGACCAAACCAAACAUCUGAACAUCUCAUACGAUGCCGGCGAUUCUUAAAGCUCAGGAACACGUCAUGAUUACGAGUUAUUUUUCUCGAGACAUGUCGUGUUCUUGAGAUUUAGAAACGCCGUCACUUGUAACCGAUCUCUGCUCUACCUAAAAACACUCGCUAUUUGUUUGCCACAACACUCGUCUACGUUUAGUGACUUGAAUGCGUUGAAACAGUGGAUAGUUUGUUGUCACUGUGUUUAUGAAAGGUGAGGAUGGAAUUGUUAAAGAAAUGUUAGAUUCAGUUGUAUAACUUCAGAAUAAAAUAUUGUUACAUUUGGAAUUGAAUUGGUGAAUAUUGGUUAGAUGAAAAAGAUCAGUUUAAAAGGCAAUUAAAGGAGUUUUUGGCCGAAAUAGGGGGUCCCCUAAGGAGUGCUAUUUUAGGUGUAUUACAAAUUUAUGAGUAAAAUUCUGCAAAAGGCUGCAACCAACAUAUGACACAUUCCUGCACAACAUACAGAAGAUCGCUGAACUGGAUCACGAGCUAUAGAAGUCCGCGAAUUUGCAGAGAAGAAAAAGUGAACAAGAAACAGGUAUUUUUAUUCAAUAACUCAUGCCUUAAAUAGCUUAGUGGUUAUGGAAAUGAGGGAAGACUUUUGACUGAAAGGUCUCAAGUUCGAUUCCUGAUCCACCCGGGUUUUACCGGCUCUGCAUUGUCGUGCCCUCGGGCGGGUGCAGGGUCGGGUUUUCCCCGGAACUGGUGGCAUGGUGGGCUAGGGGCUCCGUGCGUGCAGGUUGGGCUGCCGCGGGCUACCUUUCGGCCAAUGGGUGCCGCGUACGGAGUACCCGGCGAUUCUUAUGUUGGACGUUCAAAAAAAAAGGUAAUCACAUGGAACACUCCCUAUUACCCGGACAAAACACUCACCUUUAAAACAAAACUCUAAACAAACUACUCUACGAAAACUUGCAUGACCAAGUUUAGAUAGAUUUAUUCAACCACACUUGACUCAACAAACUAAUAAACACAUGACUAAAAUUAACGCUUAUUGACUUGACCCAUAAAGACACCUGCUGACCCGUUUCAUGACCCGUACCCGUCGACCCGUCAAGAUUAUCUAACAGGGGGCGGGCUUUUUGCGAACUUCUUUAAGUUAUUGGUUCCGUUCAGCGGACUUGUUUAACUUAUUUGUAUCUACAGCGGACUUCAUUAUAACUUGCAGAUCAAAUCAGCUAACUUCAAAUGUUGGUGAAUUGAUUCAGCGGACUUCAGACCUUUUGCAGGGAGUUGUAAGAAGCCUGCAGCUUUUGGUAGAACUUGUGUAGAAGUUGCUGUUUCGAAGAACAAACUACCUAAUAUCACUCAUAACUUUCAAAACCACCUAAUGGCACUCUUUUGUGGUUCAAACCCCCUAUUUCUGCAAAAAAAAUCCAAUUAAAAGAGGGGGAGAAGAGAGAUGUGUUUUUAGGCCUGUUUUAAUGUUUAAGUCUUGAGGACAGCUUAAGCAGCAACUUCAUAUUGUACUGAUGAAUCAGUUGAUAAUGUAUUGUGCUAAUGAAUCUAGGGACGAGCUCGGUAUUGUAUCGGUAAAGAACCGAAUGCAUCGAUUCUUAAAAAAACGUAAAAAAGUGGGUACCGGUACAGAAAGUGGACUGUAUGGUAUAGUGACAUUAUUCGAUGGCAAACCAACCCAGAAAACCGAAAGCACUGAUUCUAAAAGAUGCUAAAAGUGGGUAUUGAAAUGGACCAAAAAUGGCUUGGUAUUGGUACGUUACCGGUAACUGGUACUAAAUGUUCAUUUCAACUUCAUAAUCACCUUUUAAGACCUUGAAAGUGACAUGGUGUGAUAGUAAGACCGGAUAUUGUGGCUUAACGCCACCGUUCACGACGGCUGGUAACGCCUCAGAGUACUGCCCCUUAGCGUAAGGGUGCCCAAUUAGAUUGGCAGGGUCUAGGGCCCCGUUUGAUGGUCAGUUUUAUUGUUCAUAGUAUUAAAUUGAUUACUUAACCCCUAAAAAGUUGAUAACCAUUAGUAGAUAUAGGUUAUCGAACACUAUAGACAAGUGUUAAUUUGGUAAUCACCUUCAAAAUGCAGAUACAAGUACCAUUUAACAGCCAUGUUUUGGCAAGCAAGUUUGCUUGCAUAUGUUUUUGUCAGGUCGAAAUUAGCAUCUCAUUGCUUGCGAACUGAUUCCUAUUGAACAAAUGCAACUAUGCGAAUGGAGAUAACGAUCACGUGCAUCACUGGUACAUGUAAUGCAAUGCAAUUAUGACGUGCAUCGCUGGUACAGGUAUCAGCCGGCUUCUUACAGCCAUUUAUGAGGCUUGAAACCUAAAUUCGACAAGGUCUGGUUGUUUACGGCACUUUGUGAGAAUUGCAACUCAAAUUCGACAAGGUGUUGUGUUUUUCAGCUAAAUAUUUCUCUUUUGUUUGAUUGACUGCAAUUUUGUUAGGGUCUUGUGUGUGGAUUAUAGUCAAUAAAUAGGAAUUGGUAUGGUUAAUGAUUGUAAUUUUCGUCAACAUAUUGAAUAAUGGCGUAUAAUAAAUCAAUUAGUUGCUAUGUUCGGAACUACCUACA